RNAcentral lists this long non-coding RNA (1196 nucleotides) under Takifugu rubripes (torafugu). RNAcentral describes it as "lncRNA (ENSTRUG00000026847.1)". The record is from RNAcentral. Lineage: Eukaryota; Metazoa; Chordata; Actinopteri; Tetraodontiformes; Tetraodontidae.
GUCUAAAUGUGAUUUGCCGUGCCCUGUUAAAUAGCUGUUGGACUUCCACCUCCAGGCAUGUGGUGGUGAAUCAGAUGGAAAUUGUUUGACAUAGCACCUUUGACUGCUUUACCAACCAAUAACUUCUCACAGCUUAGACCCCAAAAGAGGUGACAAGGACAAAUUGUUAUUACAGAUCAUUAAAUCAACACCUGGUACCCAUUUGCAGUUGAUUUUAGCCAACUCUGAUUUUUGUCAAGCUCCAACAGGAUGUGGCACAUUUGUCUAUUCACCUGCUUUUUCCUGCUCUUUGUGUUCUGUGUGUCCCUUGUCCGUGUAGGCUGGACGUGGAUGGAGACUGUUCUAAUUUUCCAACCACUCCAAUGAUCUUGACCUUCUGUCCUGUCGCACCUGUGCCUCUUCAACUCAUUACACCCCAGCAGUUUUGGAGUGUGGUUCACAGUUCCCAUCAUCUGAUUUCCUUAAAAAAAAGGAUACUUGGAAAGGCUUUGAAACCCUCCAGCGAUGGCGUGAUGGGUGAACUUGUAGCAUCAUCUCCUCUUCAACACCGACCGUAAAUCACCGGAGACGGAAGGAAUGUUGCUUCUGAAGAACAAACAGUCCCACUUCCACCUGUUCCACUGUCUAAUUGACACUGACUGGAUGGCAUCACUCAGCAAGAGACCCUUAAUGAACAAACUGCUGCUGGACCACUGACUGUGCUAAGCUAGCUCUGGGCUUGGAGUGAUGGGGGCAGGCACUGUGAACUGUUCCCCUCCCAUCCCUCAGCUUUCCUGGGGAGGAAGCCAGGUCUUUCAUCCCCACUCAGGCUCCCUGCCAACAGAACAGUGAAUAAUUCAGCACCUUCUGGACAGAUCAUUUAUAACAAAAUAUCUGCUUAUUCAACAGAUUGAUGUCAGCAUAUAGCACCACGUGGACAGGUUUGUAUACCUUGACAUGGAAAAGAAAGACUCUGAGCUGGGGAUGGGAGUGCGCAGAUGGUUUUACCUUAUGUAAAAUCCAUAUGAGCAAAGGAUUAUCACACACAUCAUCAGUUACGCAAUUGGUCUUUCUAUUUUGUUGGUUUAGUUUUAUAUAGUCAUGUAUUUGAAGAAUGAGCAAACUGUAGAUGUACAAGACUCUCUCAAUGUAAUGAGAAAAAUUAUUUGCUCCUAUUAAAUAAAGGAGAUAAAUUGGUCUCACCUCAUAAAGCAGAA